RNAcentral lists this ribosomal RNA (480 nucleotides) under uncultured bacterium. RNAcentral describes it as "partial 16S ribosomal RNA". It matches the Rfam family "Bacterial small subunit ribosomal RNA", at positions 28 to 523 of the family's 1533-position model. The record is from RNAcentral.
GACGAACGCUGGCGGCGUGCUUAACACAUGCAAGUCGAGCGAUGAAACACCUUCGGGUGCGGAUUAGCGGCGAACGGGUGAGGAACACGUGAGGAAUCUGCCUUCCACUCUGGGAUAACUCCGGGAAACCGGGGCUAAUACCGGAUACUUUCAACUGGCGGCAUCGCCGGUUGAAGAAAGUUUUUCGGUGGAAGAUGACCUCGCGGCCUAUCAGCUUGUUGGUGAGGUAAGGGCUCACCAAGGCGACGACGGGUAGCCGGCCUGAGAGGGCGACCGGCCACACUGGGACUGAGACACGGCCCAGACUCCUACGGUAGGCAGCAGUGGGGAAUAUUGGGCAAUGGAGGAAACUCUGACCCAGCGACGCCGCGUGAGGGAUGAAGGCCUUCGGGUUGUAAACCUCUUUCAGCAGGGAAUAAGCGAAAGUGAAGGUACCUGCAGAAGAAGCACCGGCUAACUAUGUGCCAGCAGCCGCGGUAA